AUGUAGCUCAGGGGUAGAGCACCUGCCUGGCACUGCAAGGCCCUGGGUUCAAUUCCCAGCAU
RNAcentral lists this transfer RNA (62 nucleotides) under Marmota monax (woodchuck). It matches the Rfam family "tRNA", at positions 5 to 66 of the family's 71-position model. Rfam says of the family: Transfer RNA (tRNA) molecules are approximately 80 nucleotides in length. Their secondary structure includes four short double-helical elements and three loops (D, anti-codon, and T loops). Lineage: Eukaryota; Metazoa; Chordata; Mammalia; Rodentia; Sciuridae. The record is from Rfam by way of RNAcentral. RNAcentral also lists the same sequence under 2 other names.